CAACCCUUAAGCCCUGCUUAGUGUUGGGAGCCUGCUUACCCUGUAGCUCCUGAAAUUUAUUGGCGGAGCUGUGGUAGUCUCUGAGCGUAGUAGUUUACACCUCGCUUUUGUAGUUACUGCAGCCUUAGCCGUUAAACCCCUAAUUUUUAUUGG
Molecule: unclassified non-coding RNA, 153 nt
Filed under: uncultured Seiridium
Lineage: Eukaryota; Fungi; Ascomycota; Sordariomycetes; Amphisphaeriales; Amphisphaeriaceae
Description: sequence contains ITS2
Source: RNAcentral